This 253-nucleotide ribosomal RNA is filed under the name uncultured bacterium. Its description in RNAcentral is "partial 16S ribosomal RNA". It matches the Rfam family "Bacterial small subunit ribosomal RNA", at positions 524 to 776 of the family's 1533-position model. The record is from RNAcentral.
UACGUAGGGCGCAAGCGUUAUCCGGAAUUAUUGGGCGUAAAGAGCUCGUAGGCGGUCUGUCGCGUCUGCUGUGAAAACUCAGGGCUUAACCCUGAGCUUGCAGUGGGUACGGGCAGACUAGAGUGCGGUAGGGGAGACUGGAAUUCCUGGUGUAGCGGUGAAAUGCGCAGAUAUCAGGAGGAACACCGGUGGCGAAGGCGGGUCUCUGGGCCGUAACUGACGCUGAGGAGCGAAAGCGUGGGGAGCGAACAGG